Molecule: ribosomal RNA, 498 nt
Filed under: uncultured bacterium
Lineage: Bacteria
Description: partial 16S ribosomal RNA
Rfam family: Bacterial small subunit ribosomal RNA
Source: RNAcentral
GACGAACGCUGGCGGCGUGCCUAAUACAUGCAAGUCGAGCGGACGAAUCGAAAGCUUGCUUUUGAUUCGUUAGCGGCGGACGGGUGAGUAACACGUGGGCAACCUGCCCUGUAGACGGGGAUAACACCGAGAAAUCGGUGCUAAUACCGGAUAACACGAAAUGUCGCAUGACGUUUCGUUGAAAGACGGCGCAAGCUGUCGCUACAGGAUGGGCCCGCGGCGCAUUAGCUAGUUGGUGCGGUAACGGCUCACCAAGGCGACGAUGCGUAGCCGACCUGAGAGGGUGAUCGGCCACACUGGGACUGAGACACGGCCCAGACUCCUACGGGAGGCAGCAGUAAGGAAUCUUCCGCAAUGGACGAAAGUCUGACGGAGCAACGCCGCGUGAGCGAAGAAGGCCUUCGGGUCGUAAAGCUCUGUUGUUAGGGAAGAACAAGUAACGCAGUAACUGGCGUUACCGUGACGGUACCUAACGAGAAAGCCACGGCUAACUACGUG